This 750-nucleotide ribosomal RNA is filed under the name thermophilic bacterium E331. RNAcentral describes it as "partial 16S ribosomal RNA". It matches the Rfam family "Bacterial small subunit ribosomal RNA", at positions 686 to 1442 of the family's 1533-position model. The record is from RNAcentral. Lineage: Bacteria; Bacillati; Bacillota; Bacilli; Caryophanales; Bacillaceae.
AUGGUAGGAAUUGGAGAACCCCAGGGGGAAGGGGCUUUUUGGUUUGUAACGACGCUGGGCGCGAAAGCGGGGGGGCAAACAGGAUUGGUACCCUGGUAGUCCCCCCCGUAAACGAUGAGUGCUAAGUUUAGAGGGUUUCCCCCCUUUAGUGCUGUAGCUAACCCCUUAACCCUUCGCCUGGGGGGUACGCUCCCAAGAGGGAAACUCAAAGGAAUUGACGGGGGCCCGCCCCAGCGGGGGGGCCUGUGGUUUAAUUUGAAGCAACGCGAAGAACCCUACCCGGUCCUGACAUCCCCUGACAACCCGGGGGAUUGGGCGUUCCCCCCUUCGGGGGGACAGGGUGACAGGUGGUGCAUGGUUGUCGUCAGCUCGUGUCGUGAGAUGUUGGGUUAAGUCCCGCAACGAGCGCAACCCUCGACCUUAGUUGCCAGCAUUCAGUUGGGCACUCUAAGGUGACUGCCGGCUAAAAGUCGGAGGAAGGUGGGGAUGACGUCAAAUCAUCAUGCCCCUUAUGACCUGGGCUACACACCUGCUCCAAUGGGCGGUACAAAGGGUCGCGAACCCGCGAGGGGGAGCCAAUCCCAAAAAGCCGCUCUCAGUUCGGAUUGCAGGCUGCAACUCGCCUGCAUGAAGCCGGAAUCGCUAGUAAUCGCGGAUCAGCAUGCCGCGGUGAAUACGUUCCCGGGCCUUGUACACACCGCCCGUCACACCACGAGAGUUUGCAACACCCGAAGUCGGUGAGGUAACCCC